This 397-nucleotide ribosomal RNA is filed under the name uncultured bacterium. RNAcentral describes it as "partial 16S ribosomal RNA". It matches the Rfam family "Bacterial small subunit ribosomal RNA", at positions 523 to 918 of the family's 1533-position model. The record is from RNAcentral.
AUACGUAGGUGGCAAGCGUUGUCCGGAAUUAUUGGGCGUAAAGCGCGCGCAGGCGGUCCUUUAAGUCUGAUGUGAAAGCCCACGGCUCAACCGUGGAGGGUCAUUGGGAACUGGGGGACUUGAGUGCAGAAGAGGAAAGUGGAAUUCCACGUGUAGCGGUGAAAUGCGUAGAGAUUUGGAGGAACACCAGUGGCGAAGGCGACUUUCUGGUCUGUAACUGACGCUGAGGCGCGAAAGCGUGGGGAGCAAACAGGAUUAGAUACCCUGGUAGUCCACGCCGUAAACGAUGAGUGCUAAGUGUUAGGGGGUUUCCGCCCCUUAGUGCUGCAGCUAACGCAUUAAGCACUCCGCCUGGGGAGUACGGUCGCAAGACUGAAACUCAAAUGAAUUGACGGGG